RNAcentral lists this ribosomal RNA (329 nucleotides) under uncultured eukaryote. Its description in RNAcentral is "partial 18S ribosomal RNA". It matches the Rfam family "Eukaryotic small subunit ribosomal RNA", at positions 1470 to 1796 of the family's 1831-position model. The record is from RNAcentral.
CCCUUAGAUGUUCUGGGCCGCACGCGCGCUACACUGAUGCGUUCAACGAGUCUAAAACCUGCUCUGAUAGGGGUGGGUAAUCUUUUGAAUGUGUAUCGUGAUUGGGAUAGAUGAUUGCAAUUUUUCAUCUUCAACGAGGAAUGCCUAGUAAACGCAAGUCAUCAGCUUGCAUUGAUUACGUCCCUGCCCUUUGUACACACCGCCCGUCGCUCCUACCGAUUGAAUGAUCCGAUGAAUAUCAUGGAUUGAGGAUGCAAGCAGGUUCGCCUGUCUUCAUCUUCGAGAAGUGAAGUAAAUCUUAUCAUUUAGAGGAAGGAGAAGUCGUAACA